UACAAACAGUCGGAGCCUGCAAGGGUGACGGCGUACCUUUUGUAUAAUGGGUCAGCGACUUAAUUUAACGAGCAAGCUUAAGCCGAUAGGUGUAGGCGCAGCGAAAGCGAGUCUGAACAGGGCGUUGAGUUCGUUGAAUUAGACCCGAAACCUAGUGAUCUAGCCAUGAGCAGGUUGAAGGUGCGGUAACACGCACUGGAGGACCGAACGGGUGUCUGUUGAAAAAGACUCCGAUGACUUGUGGUUAGGGGUGAAAGGCCAACCAAACUGGGAAAUAGCUGGUUCUCCGCGAAAUCUAUUUAGGUAGAGCCUCGCAUGAAUACUCCAGGGGGUAGAGCACUGGAUGGGCUAGGGGGGUACACAACCUUACCAAACUCAACCAAACUCCGAAUACCUGGAAGUACUGUGCGGGAGACACACGGCGGGUGCUAACGUCCGUCGUGAAGAGGGAAACAACCCAGACCAACAGCUAAGGCCCCCAAUUCGUGGCUAAGUGGGAAAGGAUGUGGAAAUCCCAAAACAACCAGGAGGUUGGCUUAGAAGCAGCCAUCCUUUAAAGAAAGCGUAACAGCUCACUGGUCUAAAUAAGGGUUUCUGCGCCGAAGAUGUACCGGGGCUCAAGCCACGAGCCGAAGCUUUGGGUGUGCGCAAGCACGCGGUAGCGGAGCGUUCUGUAAGUCUGCGAAGGGACAGCCGUGAGGCAUCCUGGAGAUAUCAGAAGUGCGAAUGCUGACAUGAGUAACGAGAAACACUGUGAAAGACAGUGUCGCCGAAAGUCCAAGGGUUCCUGCGUAAAGUUAAUCUUCGCAGGGUUAGCCGGUCCCUAAGGCGAGGCCGAAAGGCGUAGUCGAUGGGAAUCACGUUAAUAUUCGUGAGCCAGUGGAUGGUGACGGAUUGCGAAAGUCGUUCGGUCUUAUUGGAUUGAUCGGGCGGCCUGGCAGUUCCAGGAAAUAGCCUCCACAUUCGUCCGUACCCGAAACCGACACAGGUGGACUGGUAGAGUAUACCAAGGCGCUUGAGAGAAUGACGCUGAAGGAACUCGGCAAUUUACCUCCGUAACUUCGGAAUAAGGAGGCCCUUUAUCCGCGCAAGCGGGUCGAGGGGGCACAGACCAGGGGGUGGCAACUGUUUACCAAAAACACAGGACUCUGCGAAAUCGCAAGAUGACGUAUAGGGUCUGACGCCUGCCCGGUGCCGGAAGGUUAAGAGGAGGAGUGCAAGCUCUGAAUUGAAGCCCCGGUAAACGGCGGCCGUAACUAUAACGGUCCUAAGGUAGCGAAAUUCCUUGUCGGGUAAGUUCCGACCUGCACGAAUGGCGUAAUGACUUCCCCGCUGUCUCCAGCGUCAGCUCAGUGAAAUUGAAUUCCCCGUGAAGAUGCGGGGUUCCUGCGGUCAGACGGAAAGACCCCGUGCACCUUUACUGUAACUUUGCACUGGCAUUCGUGUCGGCAUGUGUAGGAUAGG
Molecule: ribosomal RNA, 1464 nt
Filed under: Beijerinckia mobilis
Lineage: Bacteria; Pseudomonadati; Pseudomonadota; Alphaproteobacteria; Hyphomicrobiales; Beijerinckiaceae
Description: bacterial LSU rRNA
Rfam family: Bacterial large subunit ribosomal RNA
Source: RNAcentral